This is a non-coding RNA of Triticum aestivum (bread wheat), 124 nucleotides long. Lineage: Eukaryota; Viridiplantae; Streptophyta; Magnoliopsida; Poales; Poaceae. The record is from Rfam.
AAAAUACUCCCUCCGUUCGGAAAUACUUGUCGGAUAAAUGGUUGUAUCUAGAUGUAUUUUAGUUCUACAUACAUUCAUUUUUAUGCAUUUCUCCUAUAAAUAUUUUCGGGCGGAGUGAUAUUUC